RNAcentral lists this unclassified non-coding RNA (241 nucleotides) under Hevea brasiliensis (rubber tree). The record is from RNAcentral. Lineage: Eukaryota; Viridiplantae; Streptophyta; Magnoliopsida; Malpighiales; Euphorbiaceae.
ACUGACAGUCAUAAAGCCUUGGAUGAAUGAUACUUCUUGAGUCUUGACUCAACGAGAUAAGGAACAAGCACAAUAGAGCAACAAGGGCUGAGGAGGCACCGCAAGUAGGCACAAAAGCACAGAGUUGUGGCAAGUAAAGGGCUGUUGCAGGCUUGAGGCUGAGGUGCAGUUGCGCAUAAAGAGAGAGAAGAGUGAUGCAGGGAAAGAAAGAAAGAGAGAAGGGAUCAAGGGAUCACUGGGA